This 373-nucleotide ribosomal RNA is filed under the name Nematoda sp. RNAcentral describes it as "SSU rRNA". It matches the Rfam family "Eukaryotic small subunit ribosomal RNA", at positions 252 to 625 of the family's 1831-position model. The record is from RNAcentral. Lineage: Eukaryota; Metazoa; Nematoda.
CUGAAUAACUCAGCAGAUCGCACGGUCUUGCACCGGCGACGCAUCUUUCAAGUGUCUGCCUUAUCAACUGUUGAUGGUAGUUUAUGCGACUACCAUGGUUGUAACGGGUAACGGAGAAUAAGGGUUCGACUCCGGAGAGGGAGCCUGAGAAACGGCUACCACAUCCAAGGAAGGCAGCAGGCGCGUAAAUUACCCACUCUCGGCACGAGGAGGUAGUGACGAAAAAUAACGAGAUGGUUCUCAUUGAGGAUCAUUAUCGGAAUGAGUACAAUCCAAACCCUUUAACGAGGAUCUAUCAGAGGGCAAGUCUGGUGCCAGCAGCCGCGGUAAUUCCAGCUCUGAAGGUGUAUACCUACGUUGUUGCGGUUAAAAC